This 291-nucleotide ribosomal RNA is filed under the name Bacillus siamensis. RNAcentral describes it as "partial 16S ribosomal RNA". It matches the Rfam family "Bacterial small subunit ribosomal RNA", at positions 54 to 336 of the family's 1533-position model. The record is from RNAcentral. Lineage: Bacteria; Bacillati; Bacillota; Bacilli; Caryophanales; Bacillaceae.
CAUGCAGUCGAGCGGACAGAUGGGAGCUUGCUCCCUGAUGUUAGCGGCGGACGGGUGAGUAACACGUGGGUAACCUGCCUGUAAGACUGGGAUAACUCCGGGAAACCGGGGCUAAUACCGGAUGGUUGUUUGAACCGCAUGGUUCAGACAUAAAAGGUGGCUUCGGCUACCACUUACAGAUGGACCCGCGGCGCAUUAGCUAGUUGGUGAGGUAACGGCUCACCAAAGCGCCAAUGCGUAGCCAACCUGAGAGGGUGAUCGGCCACACUGGGAGUGAGACGUGGCCCGGAC